This 506-nucleotide ribosomal RNA is filed under the name uncultured bacterium. Its description in RNAcentral is "partial 16S ribosomal RNA". It matches the Rfam family "Bacterial small subunit ribosomal RNA", at positions 30 to 523 of the family's 1533-position model. The record is from RNAcentral.
AUUGAACGCUGGCGGCAGGCCUAACACAUGCAAGUCGAGCGGCAGCGGAAAGUAGCUUGCUACUUUGCCGGCGAGCGGCGGACGGGUGAGUAAUGUCUGGGAAACUGCCUGAUGGAGGGGGAUAACUACUGGAAACGGUAGCUAAUACCGCAUAACGUCGCAAGACCAAAGAGGGGGACCUUCGGGCCUCUUGCCAUCAGAUGUGCCCAGAUGGGAUUAGCUAGUAGGUGGGGUAACGGCUCACCUAGGCGACGAUCCCUAGCUGGUCUGAGAGGAUAACCAGACACACCGAAACUGAGACACGGUCCAGACUCCUACGGGAGGCAGCAGUGGGGAAUAUUGCACAAUGGGCGCAAGCCUGAUGCAGCCAUGCCGCGUGUAUGAAGAAGGCCUUCGGGUUGUAAAGUACUUUCAGCGGGGAGGAAGGUGUUGUGGUUAAUAACCACAGCAAUUGACGUUACCCGCAGAAGAAGCACCGGCUAACUCCGUGCCAGCAGCCGCCGUAA